GUCAUAUUACUCACUUACCUACAAACUAAUUAGCUCCUUAAUUUUACAGUUAUUUUAGCUUCACGUACACUUUCACAAUUUUCCUUCUGACAUAGUUAUAUGAAGUUUCAGAAUUAACAAACAUUUUGUUCUGAGGUUUAAUUACUCUGUGUAAAUUGUGAGGUGAAGCUGAGGGAAAUGCAAUAAUUUUAAUUAAACUCUGUCCCAAGUUACCGCAGAUCUUAAACGUGAAAUGAAAUGUUCUAGUUGAGUGCAAGUAAACUAAAAGGAACAUUUCUGCUAAAUCCAAUAAAGUGAAUACCAAAUAUAAAUAUUGAUUUCAUCCAUUUUGCAGUUCGUAGUAGAUAUUUUUACAGCUCGGGAGAAUACUUUAAAGGGAGCGUGUGUGAUCUGUGAGGAAGAAGCUACGACUGUGGCUACUACCACCGGAGAGGAAGAAGAGGAAGAGGCUCCUCAGAAGCAAGGCUGUUCCAUCUGGUGCUGGAUACAGAAGAUUGCUAUGUUCGUUAUAUCGCAAUUGUUAAGCGGCAACUGAUUUGGCAACUUAAUUUCAUACAUUCUCCGUGUAAUGUAUGGAUUGUUUUUGAAUAAAACAAUAUGUAAUACA
Long non-coding RNA from Danaus plexippus (monarch butterfly), 607 nucleotides. RefSeq lists it as uncharacterized. The transcript has 2 exons. The record is from RefSeq and is a predicted model, not a curated record. Lineage: Eukaryota; Metazoa; Arthropoda; Insecta; Lepidoptera; Nymphalidae.